UUAAAUUAGAAGUUUGAUCAUGGCUCAGGUGAACGCUGGCAGCAGGCUAACACAUACAAGUCCGAACGGUAACAGGAAGCAGCUUGCUGUAGCGCUUCGCUGACAGUGGCGAGACGGGUAGUAAUGUCACAGAGCACUUUGCCUGAUGGAGGGGAGAUAACUACCUGGAAACGGUGGCUAAUACGCACUUAACGUCGCGAACCAAAGAAGGACCUUCAGGCCUCUUGCCAUCAGAUAAUGCCCAGAUAGGAUUAAACAUUUGGUAAAGGUAACGCUCGCAAAGCGACAAUCGCUGAGUCUGAAGGAGAUGACCAGCCACACUGGAACUGAGACGUUACAGUCGAACUCCUACGGGAGGAGGCAGCAGUGGGGAAUAUUGCACAAUAGGCGCAAGCCUGAUGCACAGCCAUGCCGCGUGUAUGAAAGGCCUUCAGGUUGUAAAGGCACUCAGCGGGGAGGGCGUUUGUGAAGUUAAUAACCGCAGCAAUUGGCAUUACCACAGAAGCUUUUCAGCUAACUCCGUACCCAGCAGCCGCGGUAAUACGGAGAAGUGCAAGCGUUAAUCGGAAUUACUGGGCGUAAAGCGCACGCAGGCGGUGUCAAGUCGGAUGUAUGAAAUCCCCGGGCUCGAAAGCACAGGAACUGCAUUCGAAACUGGCAGGCGAGUCUUGUAGAGGUAGAAUUCAGUGUAGCGGUGAAGUACGUAGAGAUCUGGAGGAAUACCGGUAGCGAGGCGGCCUACGGACAAGACUGACGCUCAGGUGCGAAAGGCGUGGGAGCAAGAAGCAGGAUUAGAUACACAGUGAGGUCACGCCGUAAACGAUGUCUGCGCGGAGGUUGUGCCUUGAGGCGUGAAGCACCGGAGCUAACGCGUUAAGUAGACCGCACAGGGAGUACGGCCGCAAGGUUAAAACUCAAAUGGGUGGCAGGGCCCACGCACGGCAGUGGUGGAGCAUGUGGUUUUAAUUCAGUACAGCACUUGAGACAUACACAGAGAUGUAUUGACAUCCACGGAAGUUUCAGAGGAUGAGGAAGUAUUGGCCGGGAACCGUGAGACCCAGGUGCUGCAUGAAACAUCGUCAGCUCGUGUUGUGAAAUGUUAGGUUAAGUCCCGCAAUGACGCAACCCUUGUAUCCUUUGUUGCCAGCGGUCCGGCCGGGAACUCAAGGGAGACUGCCAGUGAUAAACUGGAGGAAGGUAGGGAUGACGUCAAGUCAUGUAAGCGGCCCGCUUGACGGGGAGCUACACAUUGCUACAACCAAGCGCAUACAAAAGAGAAGCGACCUCGCGAGAGCAAGCGGACCUCAUAAAAGUGCGUCGUAGUCAGUUGGAGUCUGCAACUCGACUCCAUGAAGUCGGAAUCGCUAGCCAAUCGUGGAUCAGAAUGCCGCAGUGAAUACAUGGGCCUUGUACACACCGCCCGUCACACCGCCCAGGAGUGAGUUGCAAAAGAAGUAGGCCAAGCAACCUUCAGGGAGGCGCUUACCACUUUGUGAUUCAUGACUGGGAGUGAAAUCGUAACAAAGGUAACCGUAGAACCUGCGGAUUUGGAUCACCUCCUUA
RNAcentral lists this ribosomal RNA (1563 nucleotides) under Salmonella enterica subsp. enterica. RNAcentral's name for it is "bacterial SSU rRNA". It matches the Rfam family "Bacterial small subunit ribosomal RNA". Lineage: Bacteria; Pseudomonadati; Pseudomonadota; Gammaproteobacteria; Enterobacterales; Enterobacteriaceae. The record is from RNAcentral.